Long non-coding RNA from Mytilus trossulus (common blue mussel), 397 nucleotides. RefSeq lists it as uncharacterized. Lineage: Eukaryota; Metazoa; Mollusca; Bivalvia; Mytilida; Mytilidae. The transcript is spliced from 4 exons. The record is from RefSeq and is a predicted model, not a curated record.
UUUAACCCGGAUUUUGAAUACUGGAAUGCAACAAUAGCAACAACGUUGUUUCCAUCAGCUAAUGAUAUAUAUGUUGUAUUUGAACAUAGAAAAACUUGUCGAACGUAUUUUGUGAGAUAUACAGGCGGAGAUUACCAGGAAACUUCAUCACAAAACUAUACCUUUAAGCGUCUUCCUCCAGGACAAUAUUGGAUAGAGGUUAAGUGUUGUCGUGUUGACAAUUUAUGCUGUGUCUAUAAAACCUUCCACGAAAUCACAAUAGGCGAGUCUAAGGAAAUUAUUCCUCCUCAAAAUGAGCAGUUAACCAAAAUAUUAUUAGUAGUGGGAUUUUGUAUAUCUACUCUGUUGGUAAUUGCCUUGGUAUUAUUGAAACGACGAAGAAAAAAGGCAUUGACGG